RNAcentral lists this ribosomal RNA (465 nucleotides) under uncultured Klebsiella sp. RNAcentral describes it as "bacterial SSU rRNA". It matches the Rfam family "Bacterial small subunit ribosomal RNA", at positions 338 to 795 of the family's 1533-position model. Lineage: Bacteria; Pseudomonadati; Pseudomonadota; Gammaproteobacteria; Enterobacterales; Enterobacteriaceae. The record is from RNAcentral.
CCUACGGGUGGCUGCAGUGGGGAAUAUUGCACAAUGGGCGCAAGCCUGAUGCAGCCAUGCCGCGUGUGUGAAGAAGGCCUUCGGGUUGUAAAGCACUUUCAGCGGGGAGGAAGGCGGUGAGGUGUAUCACCUCAUCGCUUGACGCUACCCGCAGAAGAAGCACCGGCUAACUCCGUGCCAGCAGCCGCGGUAAUACGUAGGGUGCAAGCGUUAAUCGGAAUUACUGGGCGUAAAGCGCACGCAGGCGGUCUGUCAAGUCGGAUGUGAAAGCCCCGGGCUCAACCGGGGAACUGCAUUCGAAACUGGCAGGCUAGAGUCUUGUAGAGGGGGGUAGAAUUCCAGGUGUAGCGGUGAAAUGCGUAGAGAUCUGGAGGAAUACCGGUGGCGAAGGCGGCCCCCUGGACAAAGACUGACGCUCAGGUGCGAAAGCGUGGGGAGCAAACAGGAUUAGAUACCCCGGUAGUC